Ciona savignyi (Pacific transparent sea squirt) is the source of this 426-nucleotide non-coding RNA. The record is from Rfam. Lineage: Eukaryota; Metazoa; Chordata; Ascidiacea; Phlebobranchia; Cionidae.
UCGGAGCUAUUGCAGUGUGUUGUGUAUGAUAGACACGUUCCUUCAAUUUGGUAGAACCCAUUAAUCCGCUGGGUUCAGGCAAUGUCUGUAAAGUGCCUUGACCAAGGACACAACUGACUAGCUAGCGACCAGUUUUCCUGAUAAGGAAAGGGUGAGAGGGGGAGCCGCGAGUGGUGCUUUAAAGCUGAUUAAAAUGGGUUCAAAAAGGAUCAGAGUAUGUCUUAUGAGACUGGUGAUCAUUAAAUAAACCUGCGGACUAAUGGAAUAGGACCUUGGUUCUAUUUUGUUGAUUUUCGGAGCGCGAGGUAAUCAUUAAGAGGGACAGACGGGGGCAUUCGUACUGCGCCGUUAGAGGUGAAAUUCUUGGAUCGGCGCAAAUUGAACGACUACGAAAGCAUUUGCCAAGAAUGUUUUCUUUAAUCAAGA